Molecule: ribosomal RNA, 305 nt
Filed under: uncultured bacterium
Lineage: Bacteria
Description: bacterial SSU rRNA
Rfam family: Bacterial small subunit ribosomal RNA
Source: RNAcentral
GCCUACGGGAGGCAGCAGUAUUUAAUUUUCGUCAAUGGGCACAAUCCUUAACUAGCAAUUCCUCUUUAACUAUUAAUUUCUUCUUAUCGUAAAUUUCUUUUUAAUUUUAAAAAUAUCUUAUAGAGGAAAUGAACUCCGAUUGAUAUUACCCUUCGAGGAAGUCACGGCUAACUACGUGCCAGCAGCCGCGGUAAUACGUAGGUGGCGAGCGUUAUCCGGAAUGAUUGGGCGUAAAGUUUUCUUAUUCGUCCUUCUAAGUCUGGAGUGAAAGGUACCGGCUCAACCGGUACAGGCUCUGGAAACUG